RNAcentral lists this ribosomal RNA (327 nucleotides) under uncultured bacterium. RNAcentral describes it as "partial 16S ribosomal RNA". It matches the Rfam family "Bacterial small subunit ribosomal RNA", at positions 506 to 827 of the family's 1533-position model. The record is from RNAcentral.
UGCCAGCAGCCGCGGUAAUACAGAGGGUGCAAGCGUUAAUCGGAAUUACUGGGCGUAAAGCGUGCGUAGGUGGAUAUUUAAGUCAUAUGUGAAAGCCCCGGGCUUAACCUGGGAAUUGCAUCYUGAUACUGGGUAUCUGGAGUAUGGUARAGGAUAGUGGAAUUUCCGGUGYMSCGGUGAAAUGCGUAGAUAUCGGAAGUAACACCAGUGGCAGAAGGCGACUGUCUGGGCCAAUACWGACACUGAGGUASCGAAAGCGUGGGUAGCGAACAGGAUUACAUACCCKGGUAGUCCAAGGGCCGAAUUCGUUUAAAACCNUGCAGGACU